Chiloscyllium plagiosum (whitespotted bambooshark) is the source of this 284-nucleotide non-coding RNA. The record is from RefSeq and is a predicted model, not a curated record. NCBI's taxonomy places the organism in Eukaryota, Metazoa, Chordata, Chondrichthyes, Orectolobiformes, Hemiscylliidae.
UGUCUCCCACAGAGGGGGAGCGGCGAGUUAGAGCGAACGAUCGCAGCUACAAUGAGAGGUUCCAGUACGCGAGUAACUGCAUCAAGACCUCGAAAUACAACAUCGUAACCUUCCUGCCGGUUAACCUUUUUGAGCAGUUUCAGGAAGUGGCCAACACCUACUUCCUCUUCCUGUUAAUCCUACAGCUGAUCCCGCAGAUUUCCUCACUCUCCUGGUUCACCACCAUUGUGCCUUUGGCUUUGGUCUUGAUCAUCACAGCCGUCAAAGACGCCACCGAUGACUAC